This 497-nucleotide ribosomal RNA is filed under the name uncultured bacterium. RNAcentral describes it as "partial 16S ribosomal RNA". It matches the Rfam family "Bacterial small subunit ribosomal RNA", at positions 28 to 507 of the family's 1533-position model. The record is from RNAcentral.
GACGAACGCUGGCGGCGUGCCUAAUACAUGCAAGUAGAACGCUGAAGAGAGGAGCUUGCUCUUCUUGGAUGAGUUGCGAACGGGUGAGUAACGCGUAGGUAACCUGCCUUGUAGCGGGGGAUAACUAUUGGAAACGAUAGCUAAUACCGCAUAACAAUGGAUGACACAUGUCAUUUAUUUGAAAGGGGCAAUUGCUCCACUACAAGAUGGACCUGCGUUGUAUUAGCUAGUAGGUGAGGUAAUGGCUCACCUAGGCGACGAUACAUAGCCGACCUGAGAGGGUGAUCGGCCACACUGGGACUGAGACACGGCCCAAACUCCUACGGGAGGCAGCAGUAGGGAAUCUUCGGCAAUGGGGGCAACCCUGACCGAGCAACGCCGCGUGAGUGAAGAAGGUUUUCGGAUCGUAAAGCUCGGUUGUAAGUCAAGAACGGGUGUGAGAGUGGAAAGUUCACACUGUGACGGUAGCUUACCAGAAAGGGACGGCUAACUACGUG